This 253-nucleotide ribosomal RNA is filed under the name uncultured bacterium. RNAcentral describes it as "partial 16S ribosomal RNA". It matches the Rfam family "Bacterial small subunit ribosomal RNA", at positions 524 to 776 of the family's 1533-position model. The record is from RNAcentral.
GACGAAGGAUGCAAGCGUUAUCCGGAUUCAUUGGGUUUAAAGGGAGCGUAGGUGGCCUUAUAAGUCAGUGGUGAAAUCUCUGGGCUUAACCCAGAAAUUGCCAUUGAUACUGUAGGGCUUGAGUAUAGUUGCCGUUGGCGGAAUAUGACAUGUAGUGGUGAAAUACAUAGAGAUGUCAUAGAACACCGAUUGCGAAGGCAGCUAACGAAACUAUAACUGACACUGAGGCUCGAAAGUGCGGGGAUCAAACAGG